Molecule: long non-coding RNA, 543 nt
Filed under: Sorghum bicolor (sorghum)
Lineage: Eukaryota; Viridiplantae; Streptophyta; Magnoliopsida; Poales; Poaceae
Description: long non-coding RNA (SBIC_LNC002264)
Source: RNAcentral
UGUUACUUGGAGCAUCUAUUGAUACCACUUCCUUUGGAGCUAAGGGUCAUUGUUCUGAGGUCACUCUGAUGAGAUAUGAUGCAUGGAGUAGGUUGCUUCCUUUUUGGUGUUGUGUUGGUAUCAUACAAGUCAUCUCUGGUGUCAUCUAGUCAUUAUUUUUGUUGUGCUAGUCGUCGCUUUGAUCUUGCUAGUCAUUGCUUUGAUCAUUGUUCUAGUGUAAGGAAGCAUAAGGUUGUUAUAGUCAUUUAAGGUUGCAAUUACACACAGAUCUCCCACAUGAUGUUAAAAAAGGUCGAAGAAGUGACAACAUUGGCAAUAUCCUUAGCUUUGGAUAAUAAAAAAGUGUAGAGAAAAGAAAAAAAUAUAUGGAAGAAGGCACAAUCAACCUAUAUUUCUUAUUUCUUAUAGCAGGACAAAAUAGAACAAAUAUUCUUACAGUGGGACUAUCAAAGUGGAAGCUCUAGGUUUGGGUCCCUAUAGCGAUUGUUGUUCAAUUUGUCAUAGCACCACACUAUCAAGGCGGAAGCUAAGGGUUUGAGCCCC